Panicum virgatum (switchgrass) is the source of this 1278-nucleotide long non-coding RNA. RefSeq lists it as uncharacterized. Lineage: Eukaryota; Viridiplantae; Streptophyta; Magnoliopsida; Poales; Poaceae. The record is from RefSeq and is a predicted model, not a curated record. The transcript has 3 exons.
GCUCCUAGCCUCCCAAUCUCCUCUCUCCCGACGCCGCUUCUCUCUUCCUUCUCUCUUCCCCUUCCCUCUUCCCGCUGCGGAUGCCGGAUGGAGAAGCCGGUGCGCGCACAGGGCGGAGGACGGAGGGCGGCGGCCGGCAGACGGCACGGGAGGAGGCGGUGACGGCCAGCGUGGGCACGGCGAAGGCCAACGGCCGGCGUGCGAGAAGGCGGGGGACGGUGGCCGGCGGACGGCGCGGGAGGAGGCGGUGACGGCCGGCGUGCGAGAAGGCGAGGGACGGCGGCCUGCGCGGCAUACUGAGGUUUGAAGCAGGAACUGAGAGAACUAUGGAAUGUCAGGACUCAGGAGAUGAUCUUACGCUGUGCUCAAUAUGUCAGGAUGAACGUUGUACUCCUUGGCAAACACAAACGGCACGAUUCCUUGAGAAGAACUCCACGCAGCCCAACAGCAAUGGAGGCAGCAGCCAUGACUGCUGGACCCAUGAGGAACCGGACGGCCAUCGCGAAUGCAGCAAGUUUGUUCCCACAGGCAAUGAUCCGUGGCUGCAAUGCCAUGAACAAGCCUGAAAGAAUAGACAGUUAUGCCUGCAGCUAUUAAGCCAUACAUGAUACAGCCAUACAGGAAUAGAAUUACAGAAACAUAGAGCAAUGAGAUAUCAGAUAUCCACACACCUAGACUGAACAUUGCCAUCCCAAGCCCUGCAUCUGACAGGAUCGAGAUUGACCGGGCGAUGAUCGCGGGCAUUUCAAUCCCCCACCUAGAUUAUAGAGCACAGACCGCAUAAGACACAACACAAAUGCAGGGACGACUAAUGCUGAAUAUGAGAAAUUGACAUCGAUUGGGCGACCUGUAUGAGACCAGGGACCAGAUGACACCAAUUAGGCUGGAGUAGGUGUUGGGGUUCCUGAUCAGCUUCCUCCAGACCAUGAUCAGGAUGAGCCUCGUCAUCACGCUCGCCAGCGGCAUGGCGGCAGGCCUCCCCUCGCCGUCGCCCUUGGGGUAGAGCUGGGCGAUCGAGUUGGACCCGAGCUUGGACAGGGUCGGGCCGCCCUUGUCUGCGCCGUUCCCGUUCUUGGUCCUGCUGAAAUCGUCACGACCGUACUCGUCGUAGGCCUGGGUUCCUGUGCAGGCAAAACAAGAUAAAAAAUGACAAUUUGGUUCAGCAAGCCAUCUCGCAUUCUCCAAUUCACAGAUGUAAGCAAAGCAUUUAGCAUAGUUAAAAGCAGAGGAUGCUAAAGAAAUUUUGGUAUUUAUUCAAGAAAAUUCAGUUUCUGAAUA